AUAAAAAUAAAAUCUCGUCUGAUCUCGGAAGCUAAGCAGGGUCGGGCCUGGUUAGUACUUGGAUGGGAGACCGCCUGGGAAUACCAGGUUCUGUA
This 95-nucleotide ribosomal RNA is filed under the name Sinocyclocheilus rhinocerous. The record is from RNAcentral. Lineage: Eukaryota; Metazoa; Chordata; Actinopteri; Cypriniformes; Cyprinidae.